UAAUCAACUAUGAUUGGGAAGAGUAAGUCAGGAACCCUUGUCAGAGAGGAGAAUCACCAGCUGCGAGAUUCUCUAAGGAGACGAAUGACUGAAGGUCGCCCAGGAGUUGUUCCGGUGAGGAUUAAGUCCAGCUGGAAACGGUUCGCAACCGUUAUCGUGUCUGAGGGAAUACACAUCGUCUAUGUUGACUAUGUGUAUUAACAAAGGUGGUACCGCGAAAAUAUCCUUUCGUCCUUUGG
Molecule: non-coding RNA, 239 nt
Filed under: Brevibacillus choshinensis
Lineage: Bacteria; Bacillati; Bacillota; Bacilli; Caryophanales; Paenibacillaceae
Description: T-box sequence
Rfam family: T-box leader
About the family: Uncharged tRNA acts as the effector for transcription antitermination of genes in the T-box leader family. T-boxes are found upstream of many aminoacyl-tRNA synthetase genes and some amino acid biosynthetic genes usually in Gram-positive bacteria. The anticodon of a specific tRNA base pairs to a specifier sequence within the T-box motif, and the NCCA acceptor tail of the tRNA base pairs to a conserved bulge in the T-box antiterminator hairpin.
Source: RNAcentral